AUGACUCAGUCAGUUGCUCUAAUGGUACGUGUUUUCGAUGGCUGCCGUCCAUUGGAGAAAGCUGCGAGAAGACUCAAAGGUUAGUUUGUGGUCAACUAUUCAUAAUUCAGGAAUUAUUUUAGGUAGAAGAAAACGAUUAUGCCAUUAGAUGGCAUAAAUAUUUCUUUGAAGUAAUUUAUCACAAUAUUAUUUUAUUCAAUGUUGAAGAAAUUGCAAGUAGGCCAAAUCCGAACGAAGAUUUUUAUAGAAUAGAGUAAAUAUUCUUGGCAAUCCAGGACUCCUAACCAGUUUUCAACUUUGGUAGGACCGAACGAGAAUCUCUGUAGAGAAGAGCCAAAAUUUCCUAGCCUUCACUGAUUUACGUGUAUUUAUUGUUGUUUAUUCUCGGCGUAUUGCGGUGUUUCUUGUUUGCUACAUUUUUAUCGACUUUUCGCCGCAAGAACUCCUUGGAGCCCGUCGAGCAGCCUGCUACAGUGACCUUUUCUUCAUUCAUACAAGAGCCAAAAUGCCUAGCAAUCCAGUACACCUAACCACCUUGUUUUGUAAUUAUUAUUAUUUCUUUCGUUUAGGCUUACCAAACAAUAAAUCUAGUACGCACCAACCCUAAAUGUAAAUAGUAUGUAAAUGUUUUUGUUCAGACUUUUUGAAAGUAAGGUUGACAAAGUUAACAGCACGAAACAGGGUGUUGCAAUUUAGAGGGAGCAUAGGGGUUUUCUGCCAAUAUAUAUAUACAAAGAAAACUGAAGCAUGUAUCCUGUUUGUUUGUUUGUUUGUUUGAGUGUUUUGAGCUUUGUUUUGGUUGGCAAAAAUAUUUCAUCAUUCAAGUACUGCUUUGAUGGUCAGUUUUAUCUAUCACCUAAAAUUCCUAACUAUUUGUAAGGUCAAGCAGUUAGCCAGAUAUGUUCCUUGAGUUGAGUUUUAAACCUUCUAUCAUAUUCAAGCCAAGCAUGAUUCAAAUUUGUGUCACAAGAUAGUGGAAAUGCAAAGCAACAAAGUGACAAUCUUGAUGAUCAAAGUAAUAAAUUAUUAGAUAAAAAGAAUAUAAAUAGUCAUAUGAAUAGAAAAUAUUUUGGAAAUAUCAAAAAGCAACCAUGGUUAUCUACACUUAAUACACUGACAAAAUAUAUCACCAAGGGAAACAUAUUUUGCUAAUAAUCAUGUAAUACUAAUCAAUGCAAUGCAAGCUUGAUUCUUUGGUGCUAUCAUCAAGAUUGUCACUUUGUUUAAUAAUCAUAAUUAAAAUAAUCAUUUUUUAUCUUUCUUGGGUAUUCUCUUUGGUUUGUCCUUGUAUGUCAGUGUAGGUAACCAUGGUUGCUUUUUGAUAUUUCCAAAAUAUUUUCUUUUCAUUUUACUAUUUAUAUUCUUUUUAUUUAAUAUUCAUAAUUAAAAUAAUUAUUUUUUAUCUUUCUUGGGUAUUCUCUUUAGUUUGUCCUUGUAUGUCAGUGUAGGUAACCAUGGUUGCUUUUUGGUAUUUCCAAAAUAUUUUCUUUUCAUUUUACUAUUUAUCUUCUUUUUAUCUAAUAUUCAUAAUUAAAAUAAUUAUUUUUUAUCUUUCUUGGGUAUUCUCUUUGGUUUGUCCUUGUAUGUCAGUGUAGGUAACCAUGGUUGCUUUUUGAUAUUUCCAAAAUAUUUUCUUUUCAUUUUACUAUUUAUAUUCUUUUUAUCUAAUAUUCAUAAUUAAAAUAAUUAUUUUUUAUCUUUCUUGGGUAUUCUCUUUGGUUUGUCCUUGUAUGUCAGUGUAGGUAACCAUGGUUGCUUUUUGAUAUUUCCAAAAUAUUUUCUUUUCAUUUUACUAUUUAUAUUCUUUUUAUCUAGUAUUCAUAAUUAAAAUAAUUAUUUUUUAUCUUUCUUGGGUAUUCUCUUUGGUUUGUCCUUGUAUGUCAGUGUAGGUAACCAUGGUUGCUUUUUGAUAUUUCCAAAAGAAGUGUGUUAUGUCUUUUUCUGCAUUAUGCAAUCAUUUCAUAGAAAUUCCUAGUAUCCUUUUUUACUAGCAUUUAAAUGUAUUUUGAAGAAAUAUUUCCCAAAAGCUGCUUUGCUAACAAGAUAAAAUAUAGAAUCAGUUAAGGAAAAUUUUUUGUACCUCUUUAUGAUGCAAGACUAUAACUAUAUUUGCUCUUGGGAGGGGCACCAGUCGCUUAAAAAAAAUAACAAAUCCUUUUUUUCCAAUGAGCAAUCUGUUUUGUUCCUAUUGUUUUUGAACAAUUAUGCUCCCAAUAAUUCUAUGCUUCCUACAGCAAUGUGAUAGUUUUCAUUUAUGGAUAAUUUUAUGACUCAGAAGUUGAUAAAUGUAACAUUUUAUAAACAGGUCUUUCCGUAAAAUGUGCAUAAUGUAAUGAUUCAUAGUGAACAUCAAUAACUUUAGUUUGGAAUCGCUAAAGCCAUAACUUUAAUAGCCAUAUUUAUUUCUAUAAAAAUGAGGAGCAUUCUAUGUGGGACCAUGUGGAUCUUUCAAAGCCAUCAUACUUGGUCAAAGAAGAUUAGUCUGUGUGGUAGACAGAUAAAAGCCUUGCUUGCCCAAAAUUUAGCAAGUUGUACUUAGAUGUGUAUUGUAACUUUGUCAUAUGCCUUUGUAGUGAUAAAAUUUGCAGAGGUCUUGUUUGGCUCUCCAUUGUUUAGUUGUUAUUAGGAAAGAAAUUUAUGCUUAUUUGAUUUCAAUGGUUUGUAAUUACAAUCUUUGGUGGUACGGAUUCUGAAAAAUGCUUUGAAAAAGCAAGCAUUUUAAAAAAUAAUUACUGAAGAUUUUCCUCUUAUUGUCUUCAGAGUUUGAAUCAUCAAAAUAAUGAUGGAAAAUUCUAAGCUAGGAAAUAUAUAAGCCCAGCUUAAGGGGACUUCCAGGUUUGAUUUACAAACAAAGUGGGUGUUCAACUAUUGUUUACUGACAUGUUUAUGAAUUUGCUGAUAAUGCACCUUAGAUGGCAAAAACUCUUCUUUUUUUUAAAAAAAGGGGGGUAACACACGCCUCACUCCCCCCUUAACUACAACUCUUGUCACUAAAUUAAAGGUGCUAAGUUUGUCAAAUCACUAAAGAAUUUAGAAAGAAGGGGCAGGAGCAAUUUCCACCUUUUCCUAUUUAUGGAGACUCUCAUCUUUUAUAAGAAACGUUUUACAAGAAGUUCCAGUAGCCUUUUCCAAAACUCUAGAAAUUUAAAACUUUUCUUGAAGGAUUGCCUGCGAACUGUUUUUAAAAAAAAGCUUUUACCUUUGAAACUUUUGAGAAAAUGUGUUUCAUCUGGAAAUGUGCAUAUAGAGAUUGUCCUUGACUCAAGGAUUUAAAAAAUCUUUGAGCGGUUUAAAAACUCAGCAAGAAACGUUUUUUUCAAAUUUAAGGAACAUUACUCCAAGUCGAGAGAGGAAAACUUGGUUCAUUGUUGUAUCAAAUAUUUUAUUUUGUCGUGGUUGCUGUCGGGCCAUCUUGGAUCCGUUGCGGCCAUAUAGGUGGAUGUCCCGAGGUGUCCCAUUUGGGGUUACAUGCCGUUAAUUGCGCAUUUGGAUUUCGGAUGCAUGCCAUCUGAUUCUGUGUCAUCCCUGCCUGGCUGCGGGAAAGGGGCUUCAAACUGAUUGGAUUACAAGAGAUCAGCACACCAACACUUUGAUGUGCUUUAAAACCUGAUUGGUUGGUUUUUCAAAAGUUGCAACGUGAAAAUCCUUCCAGAGGUAUGACAAACUCUGGUCACACCUCUAGCUAAUUGCACAUUUUGGUUGAGGUGUCGUGGUGUAUUGCAAUGUGUUUUCGCCCGUUUUCGCUUUCCCUUCAAGGCGAGUGCUACAACCAGAACAUGUACUGGUAAGCUGAGUUUUUGAUAAAAUUCUUCAUUUUUGAAGGACUUUAAACUUAUCAAGAAUCAGUGAUAGGUGUAAUAAAGUUUCCGAUCCGAGUUGCAGGUUCAAAGGAAUGCAGCUAGCUGAAACCUCGAAAGCCUUGUCAACCGUGUAAAUUCCCACCCAUGUUUACUGAGCUUGUUUACUUGGCAUAUAGCCUAAUGUAUCGAAAUUUUAUUCAUAAUAUCUUACUUAACAUUUUUUGUAAAUCUUAACCUCAGGUUAAACCAGAUGUAGGAUACCGUGAUAGUAGCGAAAUCGGAAGUGUCACCAAAAUUUGCCCACCAUUGAGCGCGGCUUGAAAUUUAGGAUCGGGUUUUUCUAAAGUUUUUUGCGACCUAUAGUUUUCAAAUUCGACCUAGCAAAAUUUUUAUUCACUUUUUUCAAUGAUUUUUGGAACUACAAGACCUUUUCCUCUUAUACCCUGACCGCAUUCAACGGCUUAUGGGCACAGGGUUACCCUUCAUAGGGCGCGGAAGCCUAGCGGAUUAUACUGGAUUGUUUGAUUUCGAUAGCGUGUCAUUAAAAGUAUUGUGGUUUGGACGGGGGUUAGUCUGGCGUCCUGCGAUGUGUUUUCAAAAAGUUAGUAACGACAACUGCCGGUUAGAUUUGAGAUUUACCACUAAAUUUAAAGACAUACGAAGCUGAAAUGUAAGUAAUGAUUGCAUUAUUUAUUUACGCACGCAAACAGUUGGCAAUUCAUUGAAAUUUGACUGAAAGUGCUCGUAAUUUUCAAAAAUUGUAUGUUAAUUCUUGCAAAAUGGCGACAUUUCUUCAAGGGUUGCAAAAAUUUGGAACGCUUCACGAAUUUGCGUGUCAUCCUUGCGCAGGGGCCAUGCUAAUCUUCUCUGUAUCGUUCCAAUUUUAGUAUAUGUGAAGCCGAAGCUUGCACAUUCAUGGGUAGCUCCCUUUGCUACUAAUAACUUUGAACCCCGACACGUGUCAACGUUAAGGGCUUUUGUAGUGCUCUUUUUCCACGAGCGCAUGCGUUUAAAGGGUAUUUUAACUGGAAUAUUUAUCCUGUUUUUCGUUUUUCGUAAAUUUCUAUGUAAAAAUCGUGAAUUUUUACGUUGAAAUUAGUUUGAAACGUCGGUAGGCCUUUGGACGUCUUUCCAAAAGUGUUUGUGAUUCUUUGUACAAAUAUCUUGUUGCUGCCACAUUUUCAGACAAUAUUUAUGCCGUUUUGUAAUUUUUAUUUUUAAAAAUAAAAGCACCAACACACUGGCAUAAGGUCUAGGCCCAUUCUGUCUGAAAUCAGCUGAAUGAUGGGAAAUCAGCAGAGUGAUGGUACAUCAGUGGUGCGUGUAAAUUGCUUGAUUACCGAUAAUUGAUGUUUAUUGACUCAUCGUGGGUCGCAAGUUUACGCUGAAAUGAACAUUGCCAGUAGACUUGGAGUCUUUGCUAGAUUGUUGGCCAAUAUAAAUCUCAAUGAUGUGGGCAAGAUCUGCAAAAAUUCCUUUCAUUUCCAAGUUAAUUAGAUCAACAAGGGAAUUAGCACAGGACAAUUUACCAAUUAAAAGGCAUUUCUACAAAUUACAGGGAAUCCUUGCCAUAGGUCUUGGUACACUAAGCUAUAUUUUUGCAUAACUUCAGUAGCAUGCCCCCAAACCCUUGAAACAACAGUUUAAAAGUUUGAAAUUCAUCCAAUUUUAUUUCAUCAGCUAGGGUAAGUAAUAGGCUUUUCAACCAAUAUUGCUUUGGGGGGAGGGGGGAUAUUUCUGUAUCUUAUGGCUGGAAACCUUUAUUUCAUCAAGAUCUUUCAUUGGCUGCAGGGUGUUCCAAGGACUUUUGUCGAGGAUUGCAGAUAAAGUAUUAGUAGAUUUUUCCUGAUGGUACAAGAAAAAUCGGUAACCAUUAUUUGCUUAUGGUUUCCAGUGAGUAAAUCCUCAAACAAAACAAAAACAGCAAUAAAGACCUAGCAAAUAACAAAGGCACAUCAACCUAUGUGUAAACUAGCCAAACCCGUGUCAAACAACUUACCAAUUUGAGGCAGGGGGCUUACUGGUAUCUAUAUUUUCAAGGGGCAAUUCACUCUUGCAAAUAGCGUAUGAGAUUUUUCCCUAACACAAAUGGAUUUCCAGGGAUUUUCAUAUAAAACAAUAGGAUUUUCACAAAAGGUGUACGAGAUUUUCUGCCCCUUGUAUAUUUUUGUAUAGCUUUGCCUGAAAAUGUUGCAACAUUUUUUUAAAGGAACCAAAACAGCAUACAUGGCAGAAAUCAUGAUAUCAAUGGCAGCACCAGUGGUGGGCGUUAUUGGCUUUCAGGAAUACCUUUAUCGUUUCCUAUCAAUGGAUAGUUGAUAUAAAUUUAUAUCACUGCCCUUUUACAAAGAGGCCCUAUCUGAAGACACUGCCUUCAGCUGGCAGGGAAUUCCCAGAUGGGACAAAGUUGAUCAUCUUGCAGCAAAAUUGCUUUCCCUGUGAGGUAUCAGUGUCACCAUCACAGAAGCUCAGGAUGCAAACGAUUGUAUAAGGAGCUGGACAACUAUGACAAGAAACCUCUUGUCUACAAAUCGGUGGUGCACAAGCCUUCCAGCCUGGCCCUGAAUAAAGCCCAGAUUAAUCGCUGGUUCAAAAUAAGUCUUGGCUCAAAGAGGUUACAGUGCUUCUACAAGGGAGAGUCUUGUCUUUAGUUUGGUGAUUACCAUGACUCCACUACCUGUGCCAUGACCUGUUAAGUGACAUUUUACAUCUGCCAAACCAGUGACAUCCUGACCCAACAGACGGACCAGGGUGGGCCUCAGUUCAGUCACAGCUGUGUCUGCACAGCUGCAAGUCUCCACCUCUCCAGUCUUCAUCCUGAGCUCUGCAGAUGACCUCUCUCAAAACACUGCUUGGCGUCAUCAAAGACUCCUGGAAGGGGAGAGAAGAACCAGGGACUUGAAAACGUACUCCUGCAGUUUUUGUAAGCAGCCAACAGCUUCAGAGGGACAAUUCCAAUACUACAGGUUUAGAUAUUGCCCGAAUGCCCCGGAUGCCCCACCACCUGAAGUCUGCAAAGCUGCGAAGGAAGAAAGGAGGGGGAGGACCGUCUUCUGGAACAGCUCAACAGAAUGAACUGAGCCAUGUAUAUUUGUACAUAUUCAAAUUAGUUGUUUCUAGUUUUAAAUGCCUAGUUGUAUUGUAUCCCAAUGCACAGAAAAUGUGUUUAUCUUGUUCCUAAGAUCUUUGGUUGCUGGUUAGGCAAUCAGCUGAAUGAUUUGGCUCCCCAUCAUUGUUUUGAAGCCUUCACAGGAUGUCUUUUUUAACCAGUUCCGUCCUCAGUCAAAGAGUGUGAUUCUGUCUGAGCAAUCAAAUUCGCUUUCUAAGAUAGCAUGGAAUAGACUCCAAAUUUUGUAGCCUUAUUCAAUACCCUAUAUUUAAUUGACAAUUCUGCUAUUCUGUUUUUUUUUCAAUAGCCCUUUAUGACUUCUCAAUGGAAUUUUUUUUCUUUGUGAAUUACAUUUAUUUACACAAUACAAGCCUGUAAAGAUUCGUUUCCAGAUUCAUUCUUGAUGAGAUAUUUAUUUCCUUUAAAUUUAAUUUAAUAUUUAAUCGAUUAGUCUUGUAAUUAAUGAUAUCUUGUGAUAACCAAAGAGAUGCUAA
Non-coding RNA from Rhopilema esculentum, 7403 nucleotides. The record is from RefSeq and is a predicted model, not a curated record. Lineage: Eukaryota; Metazoa; Cnidaria; Scyphozoa; Rhizostomeae; Rhizostomatidae.